RNAcentral lists this ribosomal RNA (480 nucleotides) under uncultured bacterium. Its description in RNAcentral is "partial 16S ribosomal RNA". It matches the Rfam family "Bacterial small subunit ribosomal RNA", at positions 28 to 507 of the family's 1533-position model. The record is from RNAcentral.
GAUGAACGCUGGCGGCGUGCUUAACACAUGCAAGUCGAACGGAACUACUCCAAUGAGAGUCUUCGGAAAGGAUUUGGUUUAGUUUAGUGGCGGACGGGUGAGUAACGCGUGGGUAACCUGCCCUAUACAGGGGGAUAACAGUUGGAAACGACUGUUAAUACCGCAUAAACGCACAGGAGCGCAUGCUCCGGUGUGAAAAACUCCGGUGGUAUAGGAUGGACCCGCGUCUGAUUAGCUGGUUGGCGGGGUAACGGCCCACCAAGGCGACGAUCAGUAGCCGGCCUGAGAGGGUGAACGGCCACAUUGGGACUGAGACACGGCCCAAACUCCUACGGGAGGCAGCAGUGGGGAAUAUUGCACAAUGGGGGAAACCCUGAUGCAGCGACGCCGCGUGAGCGAAGAAGUAUCUCGGUAUGUAAAGCUCUAUCAGCAGGGAAGAAAAUGACGGUACCUGACUAAGAAGCCCCGGCUAACUACGUG